Molecule: long non-coding RNA, 855 nt
Filed under: Helianthus annuus (common sunflower)
Lineage: Eukaryota; Viridiplantae; Streptophyta; Magnoliopsida; Asterales; Asteraceae
Description: sRNA HanXRQr2_Chr14g0634021
Source: RNAcentral
CCACGCCAACGCACCGAUGCAGAUCUACAACCACAGUCACAGUCACCGAUGUAUCUUAUUUCUACUACUACAGGCAUCUAUGAAUCAUUUACUCCCCUAGGCGUUUGAAUGCAGUUAUAACUUGAUUCUAGUUGAUGAAGUUUGUGAUACCCUUAUCUAGUUGGGUUCUUGUUCAUAUCAAGCGAGGAUUGCUUAGGUUUCAGAUUUAGUGUGAUAGCGUGGCUCCUAUUUAGCCUCCUUUUGCUCGACUCGUGACACCUGGGUUUCGGAUUUAUUCCUUGAAGCUGGACACUAACGAUUGUCAAAAAUCCAUGUGGAGCUAAGGUAAUUGAUGAGAAGAUUCAGUCCUUUAAUUUAUAAAAAAAUUAGGGCAGAGAUUAAAAGCCACGGAUUCACAACAGGCAGGGGUUAAUGUUCUAGUAGCUGGAUACUUAACUGGGAAAUAUAAGGAGGUCGGAUGUUUAUUUGGGAAAGAUAAUGUGAACGGUCACGCCUCGAGGAAGAAGUUGUGGAUGAACAUGUUCCUGUUCAGCCAAGUCUAAAUGAAACAUAAUGUGAAAUAUAAGGAGGUCGGAUGCUUAUUUGGGAAACAUAAUGUGAACGGUCACACCUCGAGGAAGAAGUUGUGGAUGAAUGUGUUCCUCUUCAGCCAAGUCCAAAUGAAACAUGCCUUUAUCCAAAACUAGAUCAUUCUGCAACCCAAGAGGAAAAGAAAUCGUAUGCUUUAACUGUGUGAUUAUGUUAACUAAACGUUCUACAUACACUUUAUUUUAUGUAUAAGCAUUUGGUAAAAUUGACUCGAUUUAUGUAUUUAUGUGAUGUGAUUUUAUAUAUAUUUAGUGAUUUUUAUGAGUA